Micropterus salmoides (largemouth bass) is the source of this 1560-nucleotide long non-coding RNA. RefSeq lists it as uncharacterized. The record is from RefSeq and is a predicted model, not a curated record. The transcript is spliced from 4 exons. Lineage: Eukaryota; Metazoa; Chordata; Actinopteri; Centrarchiformes; Centrarchidae.
UCAUGACUCACGCCACCAAGGCCAUCUACCGCUGGCUGCUGUCCGACUACGUCAAAGUCAGUAACAUCUCUGCAGACGACAUGUUGUCAUAGAGACGGACCUGGAGGAGAGCAUGGAGAAGAUGGAGACCAUCAACUUCCACAGUGCGGACGGUAACAAGUGGUGAACACAGCGGUGAGGUUCAUUCAGAUUUAUUUAAAUACGCUUUUUCCCACCACAAUUUUGGCGUUGUCGGCUCGUCACACACGCGAGAGGACUCGGACACUCGGAGCUGCAGGUGAAAAACCGUAUGGCCAAAAUACGGGUGAGACGUUGAGGGCCUGACGCCUGAGUGUCUGAGGCUCCCUCACCGCUGUGAUCCACAAAGAACCUGGUGGCUGGCAACACUCUCUUUGUGGUGAAGGACAGCCGCAUGAUUGUGUUGCAGUCAUAGCAGAAACCUGCUCUCUAAGGGCAGACUUGCAGGAGACUCCUCUAACAAACCCAGACAUGGAGUUGUUUGUGGACGGCUCAGCAUCACGUGAUCCAGCUCCUGGUCAAAAACGCCAUCCCGAAGGCCGCAGAGAAGAAACUGCACGAUAUGGAGCCAGGGGACUGGAUUGUGGGAAAGGACUUCAGGAGAAAGGGCUCGCAGGUGGACCGGGCCAUUUCAGAUACUGCUAACAACAGAAACAGCAGUAAAAGUGGCUGAAAGAGCAACUUGGAUUCACGCCACCCACUGCAAACGAGUGCCAAAGCAACCAAAAGGCCUCAAACCAGGCGAAGAUGGAGAUCAGUGAUUGAGCUGAGCUUUCUCCUGCCUUGUGUUCCUAGGGAGGGAGGGGAGUGGAGGUCUCUGAGACCACCUAGAACCACUAAUCUCCCAAACACUCACCGCGGGCACACUGAAACCAACAGAUGGCUCUGGAGAGGUGACGGACCGAGACAAAACGGAGGCGUUGUUCUGCUCACUGUCAUCAUUUCCAAACAUGAAAACAACAAACUUGGCCUGACUGAGGGAAAGUUCCAGGCCGAAGAGGAGGAGAUGCACGUCCUCCCUGACAGCCCGGCUGGGCUGAAAGACAAUGCAUGGUAUGCAACCACGAUGACCACGUCAAGAAAAGUAACCAAUCAGAGCUGUUAUGCGUGUGCACAGCUCCCUCAUGGAGCGGGGAACUCCAUACCAGUGAAACCCAGACCAAUAAAUGUUUCAGAGACACUAGGAGCCCUGUUAACCUUCACUCAAGGGUUUCCCAGGGUGGGCCGAGAAGUUAAGGAUAUGACCAAGACACUUAACUGUGUAACAUCAGCAUGGUCAACUUUAGGGUUAGGUUCUGGAACACGUCUCAGAUAACCACCAGAUGUACCUUGGACAUGGGUGUCUUUCUAUAGAUCCAGAUUCAGUGUCCCCUAGGGAACACUGAAAGACACCAUGUUUCUUUGAUGAGAUAGGACUCCGACCCUGAGACUAAGCUGCAUGACCUGUUACGCUGCAGCUCACUCGGAUGAUACUCUCGGAUGUGUAUGUGUCCCCUUGAAUUCCUUCUGCAGAAGACUUGAAUAAAAUUCACAGAAAGACAA